Molecule: transfer RNA, 73 nt
Filed under: Staphylococcus aureus DAR5826
Lineage: Bacteria; Bacillati; Bacillota; Bacilli; Caryophanales; Staphylococcaceae
Description: tRNA-Lys
Rfam family: tRNA
About the family: Transfer RNA (tRNA) molecules are approximately 80 nucleotides in length. Their secondary structure includes four short double-helical elements and three loops (D, anti-codon, and T loops).
Source: RNAcentral
GAGCCAUUAGCUCAGCUGGGAGAGCAUCUGACUUUUAAUCAGAGGUUCAGAGGUUCGAAUCCUCUAUGGCUCA